This 787-nucleotide long non-coding RNA is filed under the name Capsicum annuum. RNAcentral's name for it is "long non-coding RNA (CANN_LNC010124)". The record is from RNAcentral. Lineage: Eukaryota; Viridiplantae; Streptophyta; Magnoliopsida; Solanales; Solanaceae.
CCCGGACUCAGAAGGUUCAAUCAACAUACAACAACACAAGACAUACUCUUCACCCAUAUCUAUUCAACCAUCCUAUACUGGCUAUUAGACAUAAGUACAUACUGGUGUUAGGCUAUAUGCAUACAGGAAUGAAUGUAAAGUACACAGUCUAUAUCAAAGUCUCAUCAGUAAAACCAUCUCCACCAUAACUUUCAUCAUUAUGAUCAUUAUUAGAGUAAUCAACCUCCAUCCUUAUCGGGUAUCAAUAUAUUAUCACAGUAUUAUCUGGCCUAGUUGAGUAUCAAUAUCAUCAUCACAAUAUCCUCUGAACAUACUGGGUAUCAAUACCAUCACAGUAUCCUCCCGCCUUGCAGGUAUUAAUACAUCAUCAUAGUAUUCUCUGACCUUGCUGCAUAUCAAUUUCAUCAUAACAAUAUCCUCCGUCCUUGCCAAGUAUCAAUAUCAUCAUUGUAUCCUCCGUCCUUGCUGGGUAUCAAUAUCAUUAUCACAAUAUCCUUCGGCAUUGUCGGUAUCAAUAUCAUCAGAGUAUCCUUGACCUUGUCGGGUAUUAAUAUCAUUAUCACAAUAUCCUUUGUCCUUUCCGGGUAUCAAUAUAUCAUAAACAUCAAUACACAUAUAUUUAUAGACGUAUAAUAGGUUCACGGGAUCAAGACGUCGCAAAAGAGGGGUAAAUCUAAUAGACUAUUAGUAUACUCAUAAUCAUAAUCGUAUCAUCAUAAAAAUAUCUAACUUGACAUUACUUACCAACUAUUCGUUAUUAACUAACCAACGCUUAUGAUCAUUAAAC